GGCGGAGGCUUCUCAGUCGAGCAGUAACUGAAUUGCUCAUUUACUGAACGUGCAACAUGUACAGAACUCUUCUGGGAACUAGUCAACCCAACGUAGUGAAACACACACUGAAUGCAUGCUGGCCCCGCCUACCCACCUACCUCUACCAACCACCACUCCAUAUCCUGACUGACAUGACCUGUGAUCCAGUGAUUGACAGGAGAGGAAAGGCCAACUUCGUUAACUCUUCACUCUUACGAUAUUCUCGAGAGGACAAAAGAUUUUGCACCUGUUAUUGUUGGACCUCUGUGUGGAAACUGCAAACGGGACAUCAUAAGGGUUUUCACCUAUGGCUGACUGUGGCCGAAAAGAAGAUUAAAGAAAAGGAAAAACAAAAGAUCUGCCUGGUCAUUGAGUGAAACCCAGUUAAACACCUGUGGUAGAUGCAUCAAUCCCUUUCAAGCGGGGAAGCUGCACAAACUUAGAGAGUUUGACUAAGCAGCAGGUAAAAAUACACAUUAUG
Molecule: long non-coding RNA, 502 nt
Organism: Astatotilapia calliptera (eastern happy)
Lineage: Eukaryota; Metazoa; Chordata; Actinopteri; Cichliformes; Cichlidae
Source: Ensembl